RNAcentral lists this small nucleolar RNA (64 nucleotides) under Myotis davidii. RNAcentral's name for it is "Small nucleolar RNA SNORD113/SNORD114 family". It matches the Rfam family "Small nucleolar RNA SNORD113/SNORD114 family". Rfam says of the family: The imprinted human domain at 14q32 contains two clusters of tandemly repeated small nucleolar RNAs named 14q(I) and 14q(II) snoRNAs. These two clusters are named SNORD113 and SNORD114 respectively in the HGNC approved gene symbol nomenclature. Lineage: Eukaryota; Metazoa; Chordata; Mammalia; Chiroptera; Vespertilionidae. The record is from Rfam by way of RNAcentral.
CGGACCAAUGGUGAUGACUGGUGGAGUAUGAGUCAUGGAUGACGAAUACCAUGUGCCUGUUUAU